This is a long non-coding RNA of Papaver somniferum (opium poppy), 465 nucleotides long. RefSeq lists it as uncharacterized. The transcript has 3 exons. The record is from RefSeq and is a predicted model, not a curated record. Lineage: Eukaryota; Viridiplantae; Streptophyta; Magnoliopsida; Ranunculales; Papaveraceae.
CGAUUGAAGGAAAGCUUGGGUUUUGGAUACAGUGGAUUGCGAACAGACUCAAUUUAGGGUUUAAUCGAUUGAAGGAAAGUAUUGGGUAUUUGAUACAGUGGGUUGCAACAGAUUCAAUUUGGGGUUUAGUACGAUUUUUGUCCAAGAUAAGUUACGGAGAAACCCUAAUAGCCAUUCAAGAAAAGAUUUCACAACCCAGAAGAAUACACUUCAGGUAGAAAGCAAUAUGCAAAUCGGCUCAAUCAAUGCAUCAUCUGCCGCAACUGAGCACGAAAUGUAAUACAGUGAAAUUUUAAAUUUGGUUCUCAACUCUAAAUAUGUAUUUUCUGACAUAACAUCUAAUGAGUGCACUGCCUCAUGAUUGAUAUUCUUCAGAUGACAGUUUUGAAGAUGAAAAUUUAUUUGCCAUGUGAAGUGUCAUUUACACUAAACCUUUACCAAGGUGGAUAUUUAAUCAGAAAACUU